CUUUGGGUCAUCACACUCCAGUUGUCAUAAUACAGAAAUUAUGAACAGUAAAGAGGACAAUAUACUACCUUGUUAUUUUUUGUGCCAGGGCCACAAGGGAUGCAAGCUUGAUUGCCAUAAGGUUGGUGAGCUUUCAGGUAAGUGUUUGAU
Molecule: non-coding RNA, 150 nt
Organism: Pseudonaja textilis
Lineage: Eukaryota; Metazoa; Chordata; Lepidosauria; Squamata; Elapidae
Source: RefSeq, a predicted model, not a curated record